GCUUAACACAUGCAAGUCGAGGGGCAUCAGGAAGAAUGCUUGCUUUCUUUGCUGGCGACCGGCGCACGGGUGAGUAACACGUAUCCAACCUGCCCUUUACUCGGGGAUAGCCUUUCGAAAGAAAGAUUAAUACCCGAUAGCAUAAUGAUUCCGCAUGGUUUCAUUAUUAAAGGAUUCCGGUAAAGGAUGGGGAUGCGUUCCAUUAGGUUGUUGGUGAGGUAACGGCCCACCAAGCCUUCGAUGGAUAGGGGUUCUGAGAGGAAGGUCCCCCACAUUGGAACCGAGACACGGUCCAAACUCCUACGGGAGGCAGCAGUGAGGAAUAUUGGUCAAUGGGCGCUAGCCUGAACCAGCCAAGUAGCGUGAAGGAUGAAGGCUCUAUGGGUCGUAAACUUCUUUUAUAUAAGAAUAAAGUGCAGUAUGUAUACUGUUUUGUAUGUAUUAUAUGAAUAAGGAUCGGCUAACUCCGUGCCAGCAGCCGCGGUAAUACGGAGGAUCCGAGCGUUAUCCGGAUUUAUUGGGUUUAAAGGGAGCGUAGGUGGACUGGUAAGUCAGUUGUGAAAGUUUGCGGCUCAACCGUAAAAUUGCAGUUGAUACUGUCAGUCUUGAGUACAGUAGAGGUGGGCGGAAUUCGUGGUGUAGCGGUGAAAUGCUUAGAUAUCACGAAGAACUCCGAUUGCGAAGGCAGCUCACUGGACUGCAACUGACACUGAUGCUCGAAAGUGUGGGUAUCAAACAGGAUUAGAUACCCUGGUAGUCCACACAGUAAACGAUGAAUACUCGCUGUUUGCGAUAUACAGUAAGCGGCCAAGCGAAAGCAUUAAGUAUUCCACCUGGGGAGUACGCCGGCAACGGUGAAACUCAAAGGAAUUGACGGGGGCCCGCACAAGCGGAGGAACAUGUGGUUUAAUUCGAUGAUACGCGAGGAACCUUACCCGGGCUUAAAUUGCAGUGGAAUGAUGUGGAAACAUGUCAGUGAGCAAUCACCGCUGUGAAGGUGCUGCAUGGUUGUCGUCAGCUCGUGCCGUGAGGUGUCGGCUUAAGUGCCAUAACGAGCGCAACCCUUAUCUUUAGUUACUAACAGGUUAUGCUGAGGACUCUAGAGAGACUGCCGUCGUAAGAUGUGAGGAAGGUGGGGAUGACGUCAAAUCAGCACGGCCCUUACGUCCGGGGCUACACACGUGUUACAAUGGGGGGUACAGAAGGCAGCUAGCGGGUGACCGUAUGCUAAUCCCAAAAUCCUCUCUCAGUUCGGAUCGAAGUCUGCAACCCGACUUCGUGAAGCUGGAUUCGCUAGUAAUCGCGCAUCAGCCACGGCGCGGUGAAUACGUUCCCGGGCCUUGUACACACCGCCCGUCAAGCCAUGGGAGCCGGGGGUACCUGAAGUACGUAACCGCAAGGAUCGUCCUAGGGUAAAACUGGUGACUGGGGCUAAGUCGU
Molecule: ribosomal RNA, 1440 nt
Filed under: uncultured organism
Description: SSU rRNA
Rfam family: Bacterial small subunit ribosomal RNA
Source: RNAcentral